CGCCAUUUUUAUACCGAUUAACCGCUAUUUAUAUCGGUUAACCGCUAUUUUUGUCGGUUAAUCGCUAUUUUUACCGGUUAAUCGCUAGUUAUAUAUCGGUUAACCGCUAUUUUUGUCGGUUAAUCGCUAGUUAUAUAUUGGUUAACCGCUAUAUUCAUGUGUCAAUCGCUAUCUUAUAGGGUUAAUCACUUUUAAUCUAUCGAUAAUCUACAAAUCAGUUUAUUAUUCGAAAUGAAUAAGUGAUUGGUGGAUAAGGUUUUCGCUGAACCUAUUUUGUGAGUGGUUUACUCCUCCCAUUCAUCUAUUUUAUUGUCAAUCAUUACAACCCAAUUUGUAGAGUUGUCUGUCAAACGCCCACAUGUUUCGAGUGCUGAACACGCAGCAUUUUUACAGCAUAUUACACUUGAUUGCACGUCAGCAACGAAAAAAUAGCGGUUAACCGACAAAUAACUGGGCAUUUUAAAAGUCAGAAUGAGGGUACAUAUGUUCAAACUCUUUAGGUCAUUUUUAGUUGCAAUAAACAAAAGAACUACUAGUAUGUCAUUUUGAUAUGCUUUGAUACUAUAUAUGCGCUUGAAUUUUUACUUGAUAACAUUUUUGUUCGCUUUGGAGAUUCCGUAUAUCGUCAAAUUAUUGGAAUUCCAAUGGGGACUAACUGUGCAUCAUUUAUAUACAUAGGCCCCCUAUAGACAAUACAUUCAAAUGUCUUAUUUUGGAGAAACACUGAAUGGAAUGAAACCAAACAUGGCAUGUAUGUUCCUUAUGAGGUGCUGACCAAGUUUUGUGUCUUUGAAGCCGUUUUUAUUUAUAAGGGCCAAUACUAAGCUUAAUUUGGCCUUAAUUAUUAUAUGGGAUUAUGCUAUAAUUUCAAUCUAUUGUCACACAAUUUCCAAAACUAAAGUAGAGUCAACCGGUGUAGAGUCAGAUGAGCGACAAAGAAUGUCAGGCGCACCCAGUUUUAAUAUAGGAACUCUUUUGUAAUAUCUUAGUUUAUAAUUAUAACGUACAUUCAUACCCUUUUAAUAUAAAACUACAAUA
This 1038-nucleotide long non-coding RNA is filed under the name Mytilus galloprovincialis (Mediterranean mussel). The record is from RNAcentral. Lineage: Eukaryota; Metazoa; Mollusca; Bivalvia; Mytilida; Mytilidae.